CUCAAGUUCAGGUAUUAUCCGCUGCACUGAGAGCUGCACAGCUCGACUGCGUGAAUGAAGCUGAGAGCAAGCCAACAGCAGGCCUAAAGGAAGUGUCCAUUUCACAUCCCAGCUCUGCCUCUGACAAUCAGAUCGCUCUGGCGGCCUCAUCAUCUCAGGAUGAGCUCUUUGUGGCCAGGAUAUUACAAAGCCCAAAGUAAUUUCUGGCAUUGAAAAAGGACUCUUUGAAGGGGAAGUGACAGGACAGCUGCUUCCUUUGGAGCAAAUUGGUAACAUGUCCAAUCAACUCUGUAGGAUCCAGGUGGACCCAGAAAUGGAACCAGUGACCAUCUGGAGACUGACCAGAGGCAGGAUCCCACCCCACUUGAAGAGAAUAAAUCUAAAUUACAGGAUGUAAUACCUCAGCCGCUGCUAGAUCAGUAUGUGUCCAUGACUGACCCAGCUCGAGCCCAGACUGUCGAUACUGACAUAGCCAAACACU
Molecule: long non-coding RNA, 481 nt
Filed under: Homo sapiens (human)
Lineage: Eukaryota; Metazoa; Chordata; Mammalia; Primates; Hominidae
Description: novel transcript
Source: RNAcentral